RNAcentral lists this ribosomal RNA (467 nucleotides) under uncultured bacterium. RNAcentral describes it as "partial 16S ribosomal RNA". It matches the Rfam family "Bacterial small subunit ribosomal RNA", at positions 28 to 507 of the family's 1533-position model. The record is from RNAcentral.
GACGAACGCUGGCGGCGUGCUUAACACAUGCAAGUCGAACGAUGACGACCGAGCUUGCUCGGUCUGAUUAGUGGCGAACGGGUGAGUAACACGUGAGCAACCUGCCCUUCACUCUGGGAUAACCUCGGGAAAUCGGGGCUAAUACCGGAUAUGAGCUCCUGUCGCAUGGCGGGUGUUGGAAAGUUUUUCGGUGAAGGAUGGGCUCGCGGCCUAUCAGUUUGUUGGUGAGGUAGUGGCUCACCAAGGCGAUGACGGGUAGCCGGCCUGAGAGGGCGACCGGCCACACUGGGACUGAGACACGGCCCAGACUCCUACGGGAGGCAGCAGUGGGGAAUAUUGCACAAUGGGCGAAAGCCUGAUGCAGCGAUGCCGCGUGAGGGAUGACGGCCUUCGGGUUGUAAACCUCUUUCAGCAGGGAAGAAGCGAAAGUGACGGUACCUGCAGAAGAAGCGCCGGCUAACUACGUG